Molecule: ribosomal RNA, 254 nt
Filed under: uncultured bacterium
Lineage: Bacteria
Description: partial 16S ribosomal RNA
Rfam family: Bacterial small subunit ribosomal RNA
Source: RNAcentral
CGUAGGGUGCAAGCGUUGUCCGGAAUUAUUGGGCGUAAAGAGCUCGUAGGCGGUCUGUCGCGUCUGCUGUGAAAACCUAGGGCUUAACCCUGGGCCUGCAGUGGGUACGGGCAGACUAGAGUGCGGUAGGGGAGACUGGAAUUCCUGGUGUAGCGGUGAAAUGCGCAGAUAUCAGGAGGAACACCGGUGGCGAAGGCGGGUCUCUGGGCCGUAACUGACGCUGAGGAGCGAAAGCAUGGGUAGCGAACAGGAUU